Molecule: ribosomal RNA, 496 nt
Filed under: uncultured bacterium
Lineage: Bacteria
Description: partial 16S ribosomal RNA
Rfam family: Bacterial small subunit ribosomal RNA
Source: RNAcentral
GAUGAACGCUGGCGGCGUGCCUAAUACAUGCAAGUCGAGCGAACAGACGAGGAGCUUGCUCCUCUUACGUUAGCGGCGGAAGGGUGAGUAACACGUGGAUAAACUACAUAUAAGACUGGGAUAACUUCGGGAAACCGGAGCUAAUACCGGAUAAUAUAUUGAACCGCAUGGUCCAAUAGUUAAAGACGGUUUUGCUGUCACUUAUAGAUGGAUCCGCGCCGCAUUAGCUAGUUGGUAGGGAACGGCUUACCACGGCAACGAUGCGUAGCCGACCUGAGAGGGUGAUCGGCCACACUGGAACUGAGACACGGUCCAGACUCCUACGGGAGGCAGCGGUGGGGAAUCUUCCGCAAUGGGCGGAAGCUUGACGGAGCAACGCCGCGUGGGUGAUGAAGGUCUUCGGAUCGUAGAACUAUGUUAUUAGGGAAGAACAAAUGUGUAAGUAACUAUUCACGUCUUGACGGUACCUAAUCAGAAAGCCACGGCUAACUACGUG